UCGAGAAUCAUUCACAAUGGGGGAAACCCUGAUGGUGCGACGCCGCGUGGGGGAAUGAAGGUCUUCGGAUUGUAAACCCCUGUCAUGUGGGAGCAAAUUAAAAAGAUAGUACCACAAGAGGAAGAGACGGCUAACUCCGUGCCAGCAGCCGCGGUAAUACAGAGGUCUCAAGCGUUGUUCGGAAUCACUGGGCGUAAAGCGUGCGUAGGCUGUUUCGUAAGUCGUGUGUGAAAGGCGCGGGCUCAACCCGCGGACGGCACAUGAUACUGCGAGACUAGAGUAAUGGAGGGGGAACCGGAAUUCUCGGUGUAGCAGUGAAAUGCGUAGAUAUCGAGAGGAACACUCGUGGCGAAGGCGGGUUCCUGGACAUUAACUGACGCUGAGGCACGAAGGCCAGGGGAGCGAAAGGGA
RNAcentral lists this ribosomal RNA (411 nucleotides) under uncultured bacterium. RNAcentral describes it as "bacterial SSU rRNA". It matches the Rfam family "Bacterial small subunit ribosomal RNA", at positions 355 to 777 of the family's 1533-position model. The record is from RNAcentral.